AAAGCGCACGUAGGCGGUCUUUUAAGUCAGGGGUGAAAUCCUGGAGCUCAACUCCAGAACUGCCUUUGAUACUGGGAGACUUGAGUCCGGGAGAGGUGAGUGGAACUGCGAGUGUAGAGGUGAAAUUCGUAGAUAUUCGCAAGAACACCAGUGGCGAAGGCGGCUCACUGGCCCGGUACUGACGCUGAGGUGCGAAAGCGUGGGGAGCAAACAGGAUUAGAUACCCUAGU
This 230-nucleotide ribosomal RNA is filed under the name uncultured bacterium. RNAcentral describes it as "partial 16S ribosomal RNA". It matches the Rfam family "Bacterial small subunit ribosomal RNA", at positions 562 to 791 of the family's 1533-position model. The record is from RNAcentral.